GGGAAUUCCUUUCGUGGUGUUGUUAGUGAUCCCAGGGCUUCUUUACGGGAAAACAUUGAUGGGUUUAGCAAGAGAAAGCAUGGAGGGAUACCAGAAGGCCGGAUCAGUAGCAGAGCAAGCUAUUUCAUCCAUCAGAACCGUGUACGCCUUCGUCGGAGAAGACAAGACCAUAACGGAAUAUUCAUCGGCGUUAGAAAGAUCGGUUAUAUUGGGGAUCAAAC
Molecule: unclassified non-coding RNA, 221 nt
Filed under: Hevea brasiliensis (rubber tree)
Lineage: Eukaryota; Viridiplantae; Streptophyta; Magnoliopsida; Malpighiales; Euphorbiaceae
Source: RNAcentral